CUGUGAGAGGUUGACAAACAGGAUUAGAAGUUUAGUUACAAUUAGCCAAAUUAAGUCAUAGUUUGUUUGCGUCCUCCACUUCCGGUGUUAGAUGUGUUUCCCCAACGGUUAUCCGUAAGUCACUAGAUUUACCAUAACACAGGUAACAAGACUUGUAUGUAUUGUCCUUCCAGGAGACUGUUUAAAAGGACAAUUGUGGGCCUGAAAGCUAGUUCGGAACUAGCAUAACGUUAGUUCCUGUAACUAGCCGCAACACAAAUCCAACGCACCCUUUUUGAUUGGGCAGACUAAUUAAGCCGUCGCCCAUGUUCACUUGCGGCGUCACAACUCACCUGUAACACUGCUAAAAACACCGCUGCUGCUGCUUUCACUGGUCAAGUGGCUUUUUUAUUAAGAAGCUAACUGUUACCAUUUAACUUAGCUGCUGUGUUCAAGGACCGUUGCCGCCACUUGAAACUUAGAGGCACUGUUCCAAAGGGUUUACCUUGCUACCUGUUAAGAUGCCGGGCAUCACUGCUUCAAAUGUGAAGAAAGCCAGGAAGCAGCCAUAUUGAUCUGACAUUUUUCCAGAAUUGGAUGGUCCAAAUCUAUUUUGUUGGAAACCAAAGACACUCUACAUACAGUGAUAAAACUGAGAAAAGCAUCAAAUUUGAACAACAGGGGACCAAGAGAUGAGUGUCUAGGAACGUCGGACACAUUCUAAUUAACAUGGACAGCAUCUACACGGAUACUGGAGGUGCAGUGGAGACGCCGGGGGCACUCAGCUCCUGCUCAGCACCACCACAGGCAGCCACCAAAAACAAUAGAAAAUGUCUUAUUCACUCCACACACUCUGAGUGAGUAUGUGCC
Molecule: long non-coding RNA, 849 nt
Organism: Micropterus salmoides (largemouth bass)
Lineage: Eukaryota; Metazoa; Chordata; Actinopteri; Centrarchiformes; Centrarchidae
Exons: 4
Source: RefSeq, a predicted model, not a curated record